GCUAAACGCGAAGAACCUUACCAGCCCUUGACGUGCCAGGACGAUUUCCAGAGAUGGAUUUCUUCACUUCGGUGACCUGGACACAGGUGCUGCAUGGCUGUCGUCAGCUCGUGUCGUGAGAUGUUGGGUUAAGUCCCGCAACGAGCGCAACCCUCGCCGUUUAGUUGCCAUCAUUCAGUUGGGCACUCUAGAGGGACGUGCCGGUGAUAAGCCGGAGGAAGGUGGGGAGUGACGUCAAGUCAUCAUGGCCCUUAUGGGCUGGGCUACACACGUGCUACAAUGGCGGUGACAGAGGGCAGCUAGACCGCGAGGUCAUGCUAAUCCCUAAAAGCCGUCUCAGUUCGGAUUGCACUCUGCAACUCGAGUG
This 367-nucleotide ribosomal RNA is filed under the name uncultured bacterium. Its description in RNAcentral is "bacterial SSU rRNA". It matches the Rfam family "Bacterial small subunit ribosomal RNA", at positions 954 to 1318 of the family's 1533-position model. The record is from RNAcentral.